ACUAGAUGCCAUUUCCAAAGAGUCGUGUUGCUUGAUAGUGCAGCACUAAGUGGGUGGUAAACUCCAUCUAAAACUAAAUAUAACCAUGAGACCGAUAGUAAACAAGUACCGUGAGGGAAAGUUGAAAAGAACUCUGAAUAGAGAGUUAAAUAGUACGUGAAACUGCUUAGAGGUUAAGCCCGAUGAACCUGAAUAUCCAUUAUGGAAAAUUCAUCAUUAUGAUUUUAAUAUUUAUAAUAUUAUAAUAUUGGUGUGCAUUUUUUCCAUAUAAGGACAUUGUAAUCUAUUAACGUUAAACAGAUUUAUCAUAAGGUCAUUAGCGUAAGUUUAUUCAAAUUAUUUUGCUUGCAAUUUAACAUAGAAUAAAUGCUUUUGAUUUGAUAAAGUGUUGAUAGAUUUAUUAUAUAUAGUGCUUGAAUAUAUUUAUAUAUUCUAUAAUAGCGUAAUAAUCAAUGAUUUUUAUGUUCAUUAUAUGCAUUUAUAUGAUUAACAAUGCGAAAGAUUCAGGAUACCUUCGGGACCCGUCUUGAAACACGGACCAAGGAGUCUAACAUAUUUGCAAGUUAUUGGGAAUUAAAAACCUAAUAGCAAAAUUAACAUAACUUAUAUAAUGGGAUUAGUUGUUAGUUCUAUUUACAUAGACUAUUAAUUCAAUCCCGGGGCGUUCUAUACAGUUAUGCAUA
Molecule: ribosomal RNA, 683 nt
Filed under: Nanna articulata
Lineage: Eukaryota; Metazoa; Arthropoda; Insecta; Diptera; Scathophagidae
Description: eukaryotic LSU rRNA
Rfam family: Eukaryotic large subunit ribosomal RNA
Source: RNAcentral